AGGACAAACGCUGGCGGCGUACUUAAGACAUGCAAGUCGAACGGGCGCUUCACCUUCGGGUGGGUGUGCUAGUGGCGGACGGGUGAGUAACGCGUAGGAACCUGUCAUCAAGAGGGGGAUAACGCUGGGAAACCGGCGCUAAUACCGCAUGUGGUCAUGAAAAUGAAGAAAGCAGCAAUGCGCUUGAUGAGGGGCCUGCGUCCGAUUAGCUUGUUGGUGGGGUAAAGGCCUACCAAGGCAUCGAUCGGUAGCUGGUCUGAGAGGAUGGUCAGCCACACUGGGACUGAGACACGGCCCAGACUCCUACGGGAGGCAGCAGUUAGGAAAUUUUCCCAAUGGGCGCAAGCCUGAGGGAGUAACGCCGCGUGGAGGAUGACGGCUUUCGGGUUGUAAACUCCUUUUCUGUGGGAAGAGUAGAAGACGGUACCGCAGGAUAAGCCUCGGCUAACUACGUGCCAGCAGCCGC
RNAcentral lists this ribosomal RNA (466 nucleotides) under uncultured bacterium. RNAcentral describes it as "SSU rRNA". It matches the Rfam family "Bacterial small subunit ribosomal RNA", at positions 26 to 518 of the family's 1533-position model. The record is from RNAcentral.